RNAcentral lists this transfer RNA (76 nucleotides) under Bacillota bacterium. Its description in RNAcentral is "Firmicutes bacterium (anaerobic digester metagenome) tRNA-Ala". It matches the Rfam family "tRNA". From Rfam's summary of the family: Transfer RNA (tRNA) molecules are approximately 80 nucleotides in length. Their secondary structure includes four short double-helical elements and three loops (D, anti-codon, and T loops). Further hydrogen bonds mediate the characteristic L-shaped molecular structure. tRNAs have two regions of fundamental functional importance: the anti-codon, which is responsible for specific mRNA codon recognition, and the 3' end, to which the tRNAs corresponding amino acid is attached (by aminoacyl-tRNA synthetases). tRNAs cope with the degeneracy of the genetic code in two manners: having more than one tRNA (with a specific anti-codon) for a particular amino acid; and 'wobble' base-pairing, i.e. permitting non-standard base-pairing at the 3rd anti-codon position. Lineage: Bacteria; Bacillati; Bacillota. RNAcentral also lists the same sequence under 4 other names. The record is from RNAcentral.
GGGCCUGUAGCUCAGCUGGGAGAGCGCUGCGUUCGCAUCGCAGAGGUCAAGGGUUCGAAUCCCUCCAGGUCCACCA